GACGAACGCUGGCGGCGUGCCUAAUACAUGCAAGUCGAACGAGAGCGACCGGUGCUUGCACUGGUCAAUCUAGUGGCGAACGGGUGAGUAACACGUGGGUAACCUGCCCAUCAGAGGGGGAUAACAUCCGGAAACGGAUGCUAAAACCGCAUAGGUCUUCGAGCCGCAUGGCUUGAAGAGGAAAAGAGGCGCAAGCUUCUGCUGAUGGAUGGACCCGCGGUGCAUUAGCUAGUUGGUGAGGUAACGGCUCACCAAGGCCGUGAUGCAUAGCCGACCUGAGAGGGUGAUCGGCCACAUUGGGACUGAGACACGGCCCAAACUCCUACGGGAGGCAGCAGUAGGGAAUCUUCCGCAAUGGACGCAAGCCUGACGGAGCAACGCCGCGUGAGUGAAGAAGGUUUUCGGAUCGUAAAACUCUGUUGUUAGAGAAGAACAAGUGCUAGAGUAACUGUUAGCGCCUUGACGGUAUCUAACCAGAAAGCCACGGCUAACUACGUG
RNAcentral lists this ribosomal RNA (498 nucleotides) under uncultured bacterium. Its description in RNAcentral is "partial 16S ribosomal RNA". It matches the Rfam family "Bacterial small subunit ribosomal RNA", at positions 28 to 507 of the family's 1533-position model. The record is from RNAcentral.